This 744-nucleotide ribosomal RNA is filed under the name uncultured bacterium. RNAcentral's name for it is "bacterial SSU rRNA". It matches the Rfam family "Bacterial small subunit ribosomal RNA", at positions 8 to 796 of the family's 1533-position model. The record is from RNAcentral.
AGAGUUUGAUCCUGGCUCAGAGCGAACGCUGGCGGCAGGCUUAACACAUGCAAGUCGAGCGGGCACUUUCGGGUGUCAGCGGCGGACGGGUGAGUAACGCGUGGGAACGUGCCCUCUGGUUCGGAAUAACUCAGGGAGACUUGAGCUAAUACCGGAUACGCCCUUUUGGGGAAAGGCUUGCUGCCGGAGGAUCGGCCCGCGUCUGAUUAGCUAGUUGGUGAGGUAACGGCUCACCAAGGCGACGAUCAGUAGCUGGUCUGAGAGGAUGAUCAGCCACACUGGGACUGAGACACGGCCCAGACUCCUACGGGAGGCAGCAGUGGGGAAUAUUGGACAAUGGGCGCAAGCCUGAUCCAGCCAUGCCGCGUGAGUGAUGAAGGCCUUAGGGUUGUAAAGCUCUUUUAUCCGGGACGAUAAUGACGGUACCGGAGGAAUAAGCCCCGGCUAACUUCGUGCCAGCAGCCGCGGUAAUACGAAGGGGGCUAGCGUUGCUCGGAAUCACUGGGCGUAAAGGGCGCGUAGGCGGCGUUUUAAGUCGGGGGUGAAAGCCUGUGGCUCAACCACAGAAUGGCCUUCGAUACUGGGACGCUUGAGUAUGGUAGAGGUUGGUGGAACUGCGAGUGUAGAGGUGAAAUUCGUAGAUAUUCGCAAGAACACCGGUGGCGAAGGCGGCCAACUGGACCAUUACUGACGCUGAGGCGCGAAAGCGUGGGGAGCAAACAGGAUUAGAUACCCUAGUAGUCC